This 756-nucleotide ribosomal RNA is filed under the name uncultured Chroococcales cyanobacterium. RNAcentral's name for it is "bacterial SSU rRNA". It matches the Rfam family "Bacterial small subunit ribosomal RNA", at positions 780 to 1533 of the family's 1533-position model. The record is from RNAcentral. Lineage: Bacteria; Bacillati; Cyanobacteriota; Cyanophyceae; Chroococcales.
AGAUACCCCAGUAGUCUUAGCUGUAAACGAUGGAUACUAGGUGUAGCUUGUAUCGACCCGAGCUGUGCCGAAGCUAACGCGAUAAGUAUCCCGCCUGGGGAGUACGCACGCAAGUGUGAAACUCAAAGGAAUUGACGGGGGCCCGCACAAGCGGUGGAGUAUGUGGUUUAAUUCGAUGCAACGCGAAGAACCUUACCAGGGCUUGACAUGUCGCGAAUCUAGCUGAAAGGUUAGAGUGCCUUAGGGAACGCGAACACAGGUGGUGCAUGGCUGUCGUCAGCUCGUGUCGUGAGAUAUUGGGUUAAGUCCCGCAACGAGCGCAACCCUCGUCCUUAGUUGCCAAUAUUAAGUUAGGCACUCUAGGGAGACUGCCGGGGACAACUCGGAGGAAGGUGGGGAUGACGUCAAGUCAGCAUGCCCCUUACGUCCUGGGCGACACACGUACUACAAUGGUUGGGACAAAGGGCAGCAAGCUCGCGAGAGUAAGCGAAUCUCAUCAAACCCAGCCAAAGUUCAGAUUGCAGGCUGCAACUCGCCUGCAUGAAGUAGGAAUCGCUAGUAAUCGCAGGUCAGCAUACUGCGGUGAAUUCGUUCCCGGGCCUUGUACACACCGCCCGUCACACCAUGGAAGCUGGCUACGCCCGAAGUCGUUACCCUAACCUUUAGAGGAGGGGGAUGCCGAAGGUAGAGCUAGUGACUGGGGUGAAGUCGUAACAAGGUAGCCGUACCGGAAGGUGUGGCUGGAUCACCUCCUUU